This 463-nucleotide ribosomal RNA is filed under the name uncultured soil bacterium. Its description in RNAcentral is "bacterial SSU rRNA". It matches the Rfam family "Bacterial small subunit ribosomal RNA", at positions 59 to 519 of the family's 1533-position model. The record is from RNAcentral.
CAGUCGAACGGCAGCGCGGGGCAACCUGGCGGCGAGUGGCGAACGGGUGAGUAAUAUAUCGGAACGUACCCUGGAGUGGGGGAUAACGUAGCGAAAGUUACGCUAAUACCGCAUACGAUCUAAGGAUGAAAGCAGGGGACCGCAAGGCCUUGUGCUCCUGGAGCGGCCGAUAUCUGAUUAGCUAGUUGGUAGGGUAAAAGCCUACCAAGGCAUCGAUCAGUAGCUGGUCUGAGAGGACGACCAGCCACACUGGAACUGAGACACGGUCCAGACUCCUACGGGAGGCAGCAGUGGGGAAUUUUGGACAAUGGGCGCAAGCCUGAUCCAGCAAUGCCGCGUGAGUGAAGAAGGCCUUCGGGUUGUAAAGCUCUUUUGUCAGGGAAGAAACGGUGAGGGCUAAUAUCCUUUGCUAAUGACGGUACCUGAAGAAUAAGCACCGGCUAACUACGUGCCAGCAGCCGCG